Myotis davidii is the source of this 74-nucleotide non-coding RNA. NCBI's taxonomy places the organism in Eukaryota, Metazoa, Chordata, Mammalia, Chiroptera, Vespertilionidae. The record is from Rfam.
GAGACACCCUUCUGGAACAAGACUUGCUUCAGUGGGGCUUUGGUACUCACUGAGUCUGCCCCAAGUGUGUCCCU